UACGUAGGGUGCAAGCGUUGUCCGGAAUUAUUGGGCGUAAAGAGCUCGUAGGCGGUCUGUCACGUCGGCUGUGAAAACCCGAGGCUCAACCUCGGCCUGCAGUCGAUACGGGCAGACUAGAGUUCGGUAGGGGAGACUGGAAUUCCUGGUGUAAGCGGUGAAAUGCGCAGAUAUCAGGAGGACACGGUGGCGAAGGCGGGUCUCUGGGCCGAAACCUGACGCUGAGGAGCGAAAGCGUGGGGAGCGAACAGG
RNAcentral lists this ribosomal RNA (252 nucleotides) under uncultured bacterium. Its description in RNAcentral is "partial 16S ribosomal RNA". It matches the Rfam family "Bacterial small subunit ribosomal RNA", at positions 524 to 776 of the family's 1533-position model. The record is from RNAcentral.